CCUACGGGAGGCAGCAGUGGGGAAUAUUGCACAAUGGGGGAAACCCUGAUGCAGCGACGCCGCGUGAAGGAAGAAGUAUCUCGGUAUGUAAACUUCUAUCGGCAGGGAAGAUAAUGACGGUACCUGACUAAGAAGCCCCGGCUAACUACGUGCCAGCAGCCGCGGUAAU
This 169-nucleotide ribosomal RNA is filed under the name uncultured Ruminococcus sp. RNAcentral describes it as "partial 16S ribosomal RNA". It matches the Rfam family "Bacterial small subunit ribosomal RNA", at positions 338 to 524 of the family's 1533-position model. Lineage: Bacteria; Bacillati; Bacillota; Clostridia; Eubacteriales; Oscillospiraceae. The record is from RNAcentral.